Molecule: ribosomal RNA, 1087 nt
Rfam family: Eukaryotic large subunit ribosomal RNA (bases 500-1087)
UUUCUAAACUCCCAAACCCUUGAGAACAUACCUUGGUUGCCUCGGCGAAAGCGUCGCCCUGGGAUGGCCUACCCUGUAGCGUCUUACCCUGGGCGGCGCCCCCCGCCGGUGGUCUUCUAAACUCUGUUUUAUUGUGUCACUUCUGAGGAUUAUUAUAAAAUCAGUUAAAACUUUCAACAACGGAUCUCUUGGUUCUGGCAUCGAUGAAGAACGCAGCGAAAUGCGAUAAGUAAUGUGAAUUGCAGAAUUCAGUGAAUCAUCGAAUCUUUGAACGCACAUUGCGCCCAUUAGUAUUCUAGUGGGCAUGCCUGUUCGAGCGUCAUUUCAACCCAUCAAGCUCUAAUUUUUGCUUGGCGUUGGGAGAACGCGGGGCCCUGGAGCCCCGCGCCUCCUCAAAUCCAUCGGCGGAGUCGUAGCGACCCAAGCGUAGUAAUUCUUUCUCGCUUUAGGUGUUUUGCUGCUGGCGUCUAGCCGCUAAACCCCCUAUUCUUUUUAGGUUUGACCUCGGAUCAGGUAGGAAUACCCGCUGAACUUAAGCAUAUCAAUAAGCGGAGGAAAAGAAACCAACAGGGAUUGCCCUAGUAACGGCGAGUGAAGCGGCAACAGCUCAAAUUUGAAAUCUGGCCUUCGGGUCCGAGUUGUAAUUUGUAGAGGAUGCUUUUGGUGCGGUGCCUUCCGAGUUCCUUGGAACAGGACGCCUUAGAGGGUGAGAGCCCCGUACGGUUGGACACCAAGCCUCUGUAAAGCUCCUUCGACGAGUCGAGUAGUUUGGGAAUGCUGCUCUAAAUGGGAGGUAAAUUUCUUCUAAAGCUAAAUACCGGCCAGAGACCGAUAGCGCACAAGUAGAGUGAUCGAAAGAUGAAAAGUACUUUGAAAAGAGGGUUAAAUAGCACGUGAAAUUGUUGAAAGGGAAGCGUUUAUGACCAGACCUUCGUCGGGCGGAUCAUCCGGUGUUCUUCACCGGUGCACUUCGCCCGGCUUAGGCCAGCAUCGGUUUUCGCAGGGGGAUAAAGGCCCCGGGAACGUAGCUCCCUCCGGGGAGUGUUAUAGCCCGGGACGUAAUACCCUUGCGGGGACCGAGGUCGCG